GCGCAGGAACUUCAGCUCCCACACGCAAUCUUUCCCCCUCCCUCCCCUCCCUCUCCACGGCACCCGUCAAGGCAAUACUCAGCUCACUAGCAGGCCACCGUGACGAGCCGGUGUUCAUUAAACAGAUCACGGCGGGGCUGAACCCUUCUCAGCAAAAUCUAUUCCGAAAGCUCCACAAGCCCUCAGCAGCCAGUGAGAACUGUCCGGACCUGCUUCCCACCCCAGACAGGGCAGGAGCGUGUCCACGGUCUGCCCUUCGUCCUCCCCUCUCUUGUGGAUCCAAGAACCAUUGUUGAUUUUUCAGCCUGUUCAGUUCUUUGCUUGUUGUUAGGACGGAGCAGAGACGUCCAAACUCCUUACACGCAGUACGGGAAAGUGUCGUAAGCACUUCACGGUAUACCCGUUACACUCAACGUAAAGCAUUUGAAUUGAGAAAAAAGAUACGCCUCUAGUAUUUUACUGGACAAACACUGUGGUUCUUUUCAGAUGUGUAUUUUGUCACUCUUUCAAGCAGACUUUUUGAAUUUUGCUUAUAACCAUAACGUCCACUCUCCUUCCCCAGCUGACUGUCUGGAGAUUUUCUUCUUUCCCCUUCCUGGGUUUUAAAAAGCCCCCUCCUCUACUGGCCACGAGCCAUUUCCUGGAAAGGGUCCUCAUUUAUACCCACAGGGAUAAAAAAGCCUGUCCUUUCCAUCCUUAAGGAAUAGACAUGUGACAGUCACCGAGUUGCCACCUCCUGAGGCUCUCUUCCUUCCCGCAUGCAGAUUCUCAGUAAAUGGCAAAACUUAACUUUAAAUUCUGCACCUGUGGUCUUUUGGUUUGGGGCAACAUUUUAAGAUAAUUGUGGCAGAAUGUGGCACAACACGGAGCCCGAUGACGGUGGCAGAGGAUGGCUGGAUGAGGCCCCAGUGCACACGUGGGGAGACCUACUAAUGUCCCACUCUCCAGGCAUCUUCCGUGCCUCCCUUCUGCUGCCUGGGAUGCUGCGGUUCUGCCCCACCCUCCGGUGGUUUUACUUCAAAAAGCUUUGCCACAUAAGACCCUGCUCAGCACCCCCACUCUCCAGAACCUGCCGCCUGCUAACAUGGGCAUGAAAAACCGAAGCUGAGUCUUCUUAGUACCUUCAGCGCCACCCCAGCUACUGCAGAAGAGGUCUCUGCCAAACCCCC
Molecule: long non-coding RNA, 1169 nt
Organism: Artibeus jamaicensis (Jamaican fruit-eating bat)
Lineage: Eukaryota; Metazoa; Chordata; Mammalia; Chiroptera; Phyllostomidae
Exons: 3
Source: RefSeq, a predicted model, not a curated record